This 1481-nucleotide long non-coding RNA is filed under the name Scophthalmus maximus (turbot). Its description in RNAcentral is "lncRNA (ENSSMAG00000026050.1)". The record is from RNAcentral. Lineage: Eukaryota; Metazoa; Chordata; Actinopteri; Pleuronectiformes; Scophthalmidae.
AUGAGCAGAGUGGAGCUUUGUGUGUUCCUGUUGGGACGAGAUGCCAAUGCAAACAUUCAGGACAACCAGGGAAGAUCUGCGUUAAUGCUGGCCUGUGAGAGUGACAGUGUUGAAACUGUAGAGGCCCUGCUGAGAGGCGGGGCCAACACACAGCUGGUCGACGUCUUUGGACACACAGCCACCGACUACAGCGUGACCACAGGAAACCAGCGUAUCUUACAGAUGUUGCAGGAUGGAGUACCACCAGGUACUGUACAAGGCCUGGGGGACUUUUUGAUUUGGAGAGAUAGAAGGGACUGAAUUAAUAUGAAUAUAAGUUAUCUCUGUGAAAUCAAGUGGAAUAAAUGAAACGGCUCACGGCAUCACGUGACAGCAGCAUCUAAAAGACCAGUAGACCUGGUGUUUAGCUUCCCUUUGUGGCUGUGCUGCUCUGGAUCGUGACUGGUACGCUGUAAUAAGAGGAAGUAGAUCAGGUGGACAGCUGGGUGUGAUUUGAAAAUGGGUUAGGGUUAGGGUUUGGGAAAAAAAAGGAGACGAAAAGACUUGUUCCUCUUUUAUCUCCUAACAAAGACUCGGCUGUUGUAUGAAAAACGUGUGACUGGUUGAAAAAGGAGAAGAAAGAGAGAAUUAGGUGUGUAUAUGAUGCCUGACCACAUUAGUUUUUGUUCUUUAACUGGAGAAUUUGGUGGAUUUACAUUAUAUUAUAUACUACAUUUUUAAAAAGUGAGUGGCAGUGGGGAUGUGUAUACCUGUGUGUGUGCACAUAUACUCAUGUGCCUCUGGUUGUUUGCUGAACCUCACUGCCAUAGAGGUUAAAGUGUUUUGCUGUGUGUGUCUUCUCCCUCGGCACACGUAGCUUCUGAGGGCGCGGGCGAGGAGGUAAGGUUGCACAGCUAUGUAUUGCAUCACUCCCUCCAUCAAUGAGCUCAUGGCUCAUUUUGGCCGAUCAUAUUGUGCAUGUUUUCCAAUAUGAGGUCAUUGUUUUUGUGUGCUGCUUUUCUUUUUCUUUUUUUCUGGCUUUCAUUCCGCCCUUGUUGUCGACCCUUUUGUCUUAGUUUCCUCCGCUUUUCCAUUUUAAGUUGAGCUUGACCUCUGCUUGUAUGUGAUCCUCCCUGCAAACCCCCACACAGCCCCCCCAAGUCCCCUCAGGCGCCUCAUCAGUGCAUGGGGGGACUACCCCCCGCAAACGGAAAGCUCCUCCACCCCCCCGCUCUCCUCUCCAGGUACUGCAAGAACACUUUUUUUUUUUUAAAUGCCAUAUAGCAUCAUCAGUGCUCAGUCUAUAUAACAUGUAUCAGUGGGAACAAUGUCUACCAGCCUACUUAAAUAUCUACCCCAUCACAUGUUGCAAAUGUGAAUGUUAAACUUGUGAGUUUUCUGCCUCAGAUUGUGUAAUUAAGAGAUAAAACAAAAAAAGAUUUAUUGGUGACAAUUUUCCAGUAAGCUUCUUAUUCACAAUGUGUGGACAAACGGGAUUCAAG